Molecule: long non-coding RNA, 1746 nt
Filed under: Eucalyptus grandis
Lineage: Eukaryota; Viridiplantae; Streptophyta; Magnoliopsida; Myrtales; Myrtaceae
Description: long non-coding RNA (EGRA_LNC000316)
Source: RNAcentral
ACACAUUGGUUUGUUCAUUGAUACUUUGAUGAUCAUCUGCUGAGCUGCUUUUAUUAGCUUGGGUUUUAGGCUUUGUCAACGUGCAAGUAUUAUCUUUAAGCUAGACGGGCAUUGAAAAAAAAAAAAAAAAGCAGCAACACUAAAAGCUUCAACCACUUUCCAAGACUUUCCUGGUUUCUUCUUUACAUCUAUUUCCCGGUCUGCACAUUCUUGCUCCAGUUAUAACUGCAUGUGGCAAUAUAUACAAGUUAAUCUGGUUUGGUCUUGAGUGCUGUCUUAAGAAAAAGGGACACUCGCUUGUCAAACUCCUAUAACAUGAAAAAUCACCAGUGGAAGCAUAUUCCACCACUUUCCUGCGAUAAGUUUGAGAUACUUGAAUUUCAGAUAAACAUUCGCUACUUCAAUUUGAUAUGAUUAAAAGGGUAAUUUUUUUGUCACGAUGGCAGGCAGUAUUUGUUGGACACAACCACGGAUUGGAUUGGUGCUGCCCCUACAAGAAGCUGUGGCUAUGCUUUGCCAGGCAUACUGGGUAUGGUGGCUAUGGUAAUUGGGCUAGAGGCGCGAGAAUUAUUGAGAUAAGUCAACACCCUUUCUCUAUCAAGUCUUGGAUAAGGAUGGAGAAUCACGAUGUACACAGUGAAGUUGAUUUGAGUUCUUAAAAGCUUUCGAUGUACAGUGAAAAAAAGUAGCCAGAUGAUAAAGGGCAGUGUUGUCAUUUACACAUGUAUCUAGCUCUCGUAGAGAAUGUAUAGAAUAAUUUGUUGAUUAUAUCAUGCUGGUAACCCAUUCAUGAUAAUCUCGAUCACAAUGCUUGCUUGAAGAGUAAAAUCCUUGCAAUCAUUUGAAACUGAGUUCUAGCUCCUCGAAGCAUAGUAUAAUAUCACUUCAUCAAACUGCAAAGCUAAUUUCCAUUGGUGCAGCUAGGCAAUUUUGUUUCCAUUCACACACCUUUCAGGCUUUUGGAAUGCCGCUUUUUCCAAUGUAAGGACUAUGAUCGGAAAAAUCUAGCCUGCUGCAUUGUGGAGGAGUGUGGACUCCUAAGUAUCAAACUGAGUUUCUAUAAGCAGCCACGGAUCAGCCACUAUUGGAUUACAGCACGUCGUCCUGAAACAAGUUGCUAAGGAUUACACUCAUGUAACAGUUAUUGGAGUCGAAUGAACUCAAAAAACGAUCUUGUCUUAUAGAUACGUGAUUGAUGUGUUGGAUCUUACCAAUGCAUGACGUGUCAUUGUGUGAUUCCGGAAUUGCAGCUUUAGAGGGACACAGCGUUUGCAGCUCAUGCAGAAUGAGAUAGAGCAGAACGCGUUGUCCGAUGGAUAAUCCUCAGUCCACUGUACGUACCUUUUGCUUUCUCGAUUCUGGCGGUGGAUCCUUCCGAGCAGUAAUAUCAAACGCCCAAUCUCAGGCCGUCCUUCAACCGUAUAUUCUGACUCGAUCUUCUUUAGCCGGAAUACCCUGCGAUGAUCGAAAAUCCUCAAGUUUCUGGCUCUGUGGUGUCUCCUCAGAAAGAUGUUGAUGGUAGACCAACGGCCAUGCCUGCAUAUUCCGUAGCGGAAAUGGAAACUCUCGCUGCUUACUCUGCCCUUUUAGCUUGGCUUGGAAGAUAAGCAAUUCUGUCUUUUCCACAAGGGACAGCGACAGGGGUGGGGGAAAAACAUCAUGGGACGCAACAGCGACGGGGGACGUGAAAGAUAUUGAACUUAGAUACUCCUAGGAGGUUUAGCAUAUUCUGUUGUUUGGUACGUG